RNAcentral lists this ribosomal RNA (1539 nucleotides) under Klebsiella quasipneumoniae. RNAcentral describes it as "bacterial SSU rRNA". It matches the Rfam family "Bacterial small subunit ribosomal RNA". The record is from RNAcentral. Lineage: Bacteria; Pseudomonadati; Pseudomonadota; Gammaproteobacteria; Enterobacterales; Enterobacteriaceae.
AAAUUGAAGAGUUUGAUCAUGGCUCAGAUUGAACGCUGGCGGCAGGCCUAACACAUGCAAGUCGAGCGGUAGCACAGAGAGCUUGCUCUCGGGUGACGAGCGGCGGACGGGUGAGUAAUGUCUGGGAAACUGCCUGAUGGAGGGGGAUAACUACUGGAAACGGUAGCUAAUACCGCAUAAUGUCGCAAGACCAAAGUGGGGGACCUUCGGGCCUCAUGCCAUCAGAUGUGCCCAGAUGGGAUUAGCUAGUAGGUGGGGUAACGGCUCACCUAGGCGACGAUCCCUAGCUGGUCUGAGAGGAUGACCAGCCACACUGGAACUGAGACACGGUCCAGACUCCUACGGGAGGCAGCAGUGGGGAAUAUUGCACAAUGGGCGCAAGCCUGAUGCAGCCAUGCCGCGUGUGUGAAGAAGGCCUUCGGGUUGUAAAGCACUUUCAGCGGGGAGGAAGGCGAUAAGGUUAAUAACCUUGUCGAUUGACGUUACCCGCAGAAGAAGCACCGGCUAACUCCGUGCCAGCAGCCGCGGUAAUACGGAGGGUGCAAGCGUUAAUCGGAAUUACUGGGCGUAAAGCGCACGCAGGCGGUCUGUCAAGUCGGAUGUGAAAUCCCCGGGCUCAACCUGGGAACUGCAUUCGAAACUGGCAGGCUAGAGUCUUGUAGAGGGGGUAGAAUUCCAGGUGUAGCGGUGAAAUGCGUAGAGAUCUGGAGGAAUACCGGUGGCGAAGGCGGCCCCCUGGACAAAGACUGACGCUCAGGUGCGAAAGCGUGGGGAGCAAACAGGAUUAGAUACCCUGGUAGUCCACGCCGUAAACGAUGUCGAUUUGGAGGUUGUGCCCUUGAGGCGUGGCUUCCGGAGCUAACGCGUUAAAUCGACCGCCUGGGGAGUACGGCCGCAAGGUUAAAACUCAAAUGAAUUGACGGGGGCCCGCACAAGCGGUGGAGCAUGUGGUUUAAUUCGAUGCAACGCGAAGAACCUUACCUGGUCUUGACAUCCACAGAACUUAGCAGAGAUGCUUUGGUGCCUUCGGGAACUGUGAGACAGGUGCUGCAUGGCUGUCGUCAGCUCGUGUUGUGAAAUGUUGGGUUAAGUCCCGCAACGAGCGCAACCCUUAUCCUUUGUUGCCAGCGGUCCGGCCGGGAACUCAAAGGAGACUGCCAGUGAUAAACUGGAGGAAGGUGGGGAUGACGUCAAGUCAUCAUGGCCCUUACGACCAGGGCUACACACGUGCUACAAUGGCAUAUACAAAGAGAAGCGACCUCGCGAGAGCAAGCGGACCUCAUAAAGUAUGUCGUAGUCCGGAUUGGAGUCUGCAACUCGACUCCAUGAAGUCGGAAUCGCUAGUAAUCGUAGAUCAGAAUGCUACGGUGAAUACGUUCCCGGGCCUUGUACACACCGCCCGUCACACCAUGGGAGUGGGUUGCAAAAGAAGUAGGUAGCUUAACCUUCGGGAGGGCGCUUACCACUUUGUGAUUCAUGACUGGGGUGAAGUCGUAACAAGGUAACCGUAGGGGAACCUGCGGUUGGAUCACCUCCUUA